AUAUAUAAUGCACCCAUUCUAUAUAUAUAUACACACACACACAUAUAUAAAAGCUGAGUGUCUUUUUUCUCACUGCCCUGGACCUGGAAUCCUUGGCCCAGUGCUGGAACUCAUUGUGGGAUCAUCCACCUUGCAUCUCCUCCAGGGAGCGGAGGUCUGUUCAGUCCUAACAGCCAUGUGCCCUUUAAUUCCUAAACCACAAAGAGGACAAUUUGUGCUUAUUUAUUGAAGCCCUAGCCUGUGUAAGGCCCUGUGCCAGACUCUCUAGAGGGACUUUCUCAUUCAAUCCUCUUACCUCCUCUUACUUCUACACCUCACCCGUUUAAUUUUUCUUCACCAUGCUCCCCACCAGCUGGCCUUACGUUGUACAUAUAGAUUUGUUCAUUAUUGUCUUUCCUCGCCAGAAUGUAAGCUUUGUGGGGGCAGGAAUUUUGUCUGUGUCAUUUACUAUCAUCUCCCCAGCGCCUGGCACUGAUCAGAUGAAGGAAUCUUGCCAGGUAGGCCUUAGCACCCCCAUUUGACAGAUGGGGGGAUGCAGGCUCAGCGAUUUGCCAACAUCCUGUGAUUAGUAAGUAGCAGAGACUGAAUUUAAACUCAGGGGCUCCUGGGGGCACAGCCCACGCUGCAGGGAGCUUUCCCUCAUCAGCUUCCUCUACAUUGCUGGGAUGAGUUUGAAGUCUGAAAAUUAAAGGCAUAAAGGCGAUGACUCAUCUCUUAGACAAAGAAGAGGAAAAUCAGGGCCCAGAGCUGAGUCAUCAUUUCCACUUCCCACUAUGCUGACUCAUUCAGACCUCCGGCUCUUGCUCUCCCAGAGCUUGUUGCUGGGAGAGCGGCCAGGCGCUCAACAUAGUCCCUGGCUCCCUUCUUAUUUGACCUUCCAGACUGCCCUAUUGGCUGGGACAGUCUGACCCAGACACAAGCUUGGAUGUGGGUCCAGGCCAGCACUCCCCAGAGAGCCCUGCAGAUCUGGAGGCAAGACUCCAAGACUGUUGCAAGAUCACAGCACUGGCAGCAGAGAGGCUCCUGCCUUGCAGGGGCUUCCUGCUAGGAGGUUUUCUUGGAUGGAUGGGCACCUGCAGUAACUGUGUGCACACCUGACUUAUUUAAAUUUUGAAAGAACUGUGGGCAUAUAUGACUGAUUAAAUUUUGAAAGAACACAAGCCUUGACAUCAGAAAGAAGUGACUUUGAAGCCCAGCUCUGCCCCUUAUUAGCUGUGUGACCGUAGGCACACUACUAUACAACUCUGUGCCUCAGUGUCCUCAUCUGAAAAAUGAGGUCAUAAUAUUGUCUACUUGCUAGGGUUGGCAAGAGAAAGGCGUGAGACAUUUUGAGUGAGAGCUCUUUGCACAGCCUAAAGAAGGAAGAAACACACUUUAAAGUCAUAAAGGCAACUGAGGACUGAACCCCAUGGUAGAGAUGGGAUGGAGUGGAGUUGGGGGAAAACAAGGUUCUGUGUGCCAGGCCAGGCUGACCAGGGGGUCUAAGGCUGAAGGUGGACAAAUGGCUUAACCUCCAGCAGCUUACCUUUCUCCAGCUGCACAAUGAUCAUGCUAGACUCUGCCCUGUCUCACACAGAAUGAGAAUAUUCCACAGAAGGAAAAAUGUUAACUGACAUCAUGGUUGGGGAUUUGGAAGUGGAGAGUAUUAAAAAUAUCACCCAAGUAAUACAUGAAUCUAUGUUUAUUGUGAAAGAUUUUAGCAAUCUGGAUUUUAGCAAAAUGUGGAGUCCCUUUUCACGAGCUUCCACUAUCUACAGUUUGGAGCACAUCCUUACAAUCUCUCUCUCUCUCUUUCUGUCUCUCCAUUUAUGUAUAUAUGUGCACAGGGCUAAUAGCUAACACUAGUUGGGCAUUUUGAUACAUAUCAGGCCCUGCUCUAAACACUUUACAUGGAUUCAUUUAUUUAGUCUUCACAAAACCCCAUGAGGCAAACUCUAUUAUUAGCUCUACUUUACAGAGGAGAAAACUCAGGCCCAGAGAGGUAAAGUAACUUCCCCAAAGUCACACAGCUUCAGAGAAAAAGAGCUGGGAUUGAAACCCAGGCAGCCUGGUUCCAGAGUCUGUUCACAACCAUUGCAUUCUAUUGUCUCUCGAAUAUUCU
RNAcentral lists this long non-coding RNA (2101 nucleotides) under Homo sapiens (human). Its description in RNAcentral is "HSALNT0384405". Lineage: Eukaryota; Metazoa; Chordata; Mammalia; Primates; Hominidae. The record is from RNAcentral.